CCUACGGGAGGCAGCAGUGGGGAAUAUUGCACAAUGGGGGAAACCCUGAUGCAGCGACGCCGCGUGAGUGAAGAAGUAAUUCGUUAUGUAAAGCUCUAUCAGCAGGGAAGAAAAUGACGGUACUUGAGUAAGAAGCCCCGGCUAACUACGUGCCAGCAGCCGCGGUAAUACGUAGGGGGCAAGCGUUAUCCGGAUUUACUGGGUGUAAAGGGAGCGUAGACGGCAGUGCAAGUUUGGUGUGAAAGUCGGGGGCUCAACCCCCGAACUGCUCUGGAAACUGGACGGCUGGAGUGCAGGAGAGGUAAGUGGAAUUCCUAGUGUAGCGGUGAAAUGCGUAGAUAUUAGGAGGAACACCAGUGGCGAAGGCGGCUUACUGGACUGUAACUGACGUUGAGGCUCGAAAGCGUGGGGAUCGAACAGGAUUAGAUACCCUAGUAGUC
RNAcentral lists this ribosomal RNA (440 nucleotides) under uncultured bacterium. RNAcentral's name for it is "partial 16S ribosomal RNA". It matches the Rfam family "Bacterial small subunit ribosomal RNA", at positions 338 to 795 of the family's 1533-position model. The record is from RNAcentral.